Molecule: RNA transcript, 2510 nt
Organism: Oryza brachyantha (malo sina)
Lineage: Eukaryota; Viridiplantae; Streptophyta; Magnoliopsida; Poales; Poaceae
Gene name: exocyst complex component EXO70A1-like
Exons: 14
Source: RefSeq, a predicted model, not a curated record
AUAGCCGUCCACCGUUCAACCUGCGUGUUUCCUUUUCGUUAGCAAUAGGGCGAUGGAGCGAGCAGCGGAGGCGGCGAUCCGCGCGAAGGUGAAGCAGCUGCGCGAGGCGAUACACAGCAGCGAGGCGAUCCUCGAGGAGGCUGCCGUGAUAGGCACUUCCCUGAGCAGCCACAAGGCCGCCAUUGAUGGCGCCAUCCGCCCUGCCAAGAAGAGGACGCACAUGGCGUGCAGGGCGCACGACAACGUCAGGAGGAGCCUCAGGGCGGCCGGGACGAUCUUGCGGCACGUCGACCUUGUUAGCGAGGCAGAGCAUGUGAUAUUAUUGGACAGGCUGAAUGAGGAUCUUAAUACCUAUCUUGAGGCAGUUGAUAAAUUGAGAAGUGCCAAAUACUUUUUUACUUCCAAGAGAAGCUGUAGAGAUGGUAAUGACGUUCGUGAACAUGUUAAUGAAUUGCUUUCUAAAGCAGUCCAUGGGUUGGAGAAUGAAUUCCAGAGGCUGUUAACCAAAUGCAGCAAACCUGUAGAGUUUGAGCAUAUUUUCAACUGUCUUCCAAGUUUGGAUCAGCAAUUGUCAAGUCAGAACCUUAUUGGCCCAUCAGCUGAUGGUUACUCUGAAGCACAGCUAAAUCAGUAUGAUUUGUGCACUCUUCCUACACUCAUUGAUCCAUGUUACUUGACUUUGCUCUCAAAGUUAUCACAGAAAUCGGUUCAACUUGAUUGCCACCAGAAGUUUAUGGAAAUAUACAGAGAAAUUCGGGGUUCAACUUUGGAACAAAGUCUUAAGAACUUGGGAGUUGAAUAUGUUACAAAAGAAGAAGUGCAGCAUGUUCAGGCUCAGACCUUGGAUGCUAAAAUUCACCACUGGAGACAGUCCUUCCGAAUUACUGUAAAGUUGCUUUUUGGUAGUGAAUGCAUGCUGUGUGAUCAAGUAUUUGGAAGAAAGUGUACAUGGAAGGAUAAUUGUUUUGCUGAAGUAACAACAAAAAGCCUUUCGACUCUACUCAGUUUCGGAGAGGCUGUUGUUCAAUCCCAAACAUCGCCAGAUAAAUUAGGUGUACUUCUAGAUAUGUAUGAAGCCACAUCGGAACUUCAACCUGAGGUUGAGGCAAUCUUUGUGGGUAAUGCAUGCUCUGAAAACCGGAAAUCUGCCCUUGCUUUGAUUAAAAGCCUCUCACAGACUGUGAAAAAUACAUUAGGUGACUUCAUGGAAUACAUUGUGAAUCACUCGGCAAUGAGUAUGACUGUUGAUGGGGCUGUGCAUCCUCUGACCAGCUAUGUUACUGAUCAUAUCAAAAUUCAUUUUAAGUAUCAACCAUUGCUAAAGCAGAUCUUUGGAGAGUCCUGUGUUGGAGAUCGAAAAGAUACCGAUGUGACCUCUCAACUUUUUGGUGUUAUACAUGCUCUGGAGACCAAUCUAGCUACGAAAGCAAAGCAAUACAAGGACCUUUCUCUGGAGCACCUUUUCUUAAUGAAUAACAUCCAUUAUAUUGUCAAGUCUAUCCACAGAUUAGAAGCAAAGGAUUUAUUUGGCGCUGAUUGGAUUGAGAGACAACGGAGGAUUGUGCAACAGCAGGCUACUCAAUAUAGAAGAAUCGCGUGGCUAAAGGUAGUGGAGUCCCUAUCAACUCAAGGUUAUAUUUCACUAGUAGGAUAUUCUACUGAUGCUACUCAAGGAAGUUUUAGUUUUAGAAAUAUUAAGAGCAGUGCAACCUCCAGAUCUGUGAUCAAGGAGAGAUUCAAACGUUUCAACAUGCGAUUUGAAGAAACUUUCCAAACACAGAUAAAUUGGGAUGUCCCCGACAGAGAUUUACGAGAAACCUUAAUUCUUACGAUUGCUGAAAUAUUGUUACCUGCUUACAGAUCUUUUCUGAAACAUUUUGGGCCUCUUGUUGAGAACAGCCCUGGCGCUUUAAAAUAUAUGAAGUAUACUCCAGAAUCACUUGAGCAAGCCCUUGGUAAUCUAUUUGCAAAGAAAUUACGAAGUGAUCAGGCCACCACGAAUUCCGAUGGCAACAAGCAUCCCGCUUAACUGCUUGACUCCUGUAGAAGUCAUCGAACAGGGCAGCAGGCUCCCCAGCCUUGUUCAGAAUUUGCCAUCGUUAAAGAGCAUGGAAAGCACGAGGUAUAUUUUGCUAUGUCAACUGAGCACAGCAGCACAGGCUACCGGAGAGCCGGUUGGCGCCGACGUAGAUAUGUGUAAGCCUGGAGCAGCCCUAGCACGGCCAGCCGCUGCCGCCGCCGCCGCAAAGAGAGGAAGAUGAGAGAGAGGAGAGCAUGAGAGAGAAAAAGAAGAGAAAGAAAAAAAAUGAAAAAAAAAGUCACGUGAGGCCCACCACACGCCACGUCAGCGAAACCAGCUAAAAAUUGGAGUCAAUACUACCAGGGAGCAUUCCUUGAACGGUUUAUGUAAGUUUAGGGAUAUACAUUUCUGGUUUUAGAGUUAAAGGACAUAAGACAUAUUCAACGUUAAGUUAAGGGAUCUACGAUGAACUUAUUCCCAACUUGAUAAG